This is a long non-coding RNA of Felis catus (domestic cat), 1190 nucleotides long. RefSeq lists it as uncharacterized. The record is from RefSeq and is a predicted model, not a curated record. The transcript has 3 exons. NCBI's taxonomy places the organism in Eukaryota, Metazoa, Chordata, Mammalia, Carnivora, Felidae.
CUGGGGAUCUGUUCGUAAAGAUUCUUCAAAUCUUCAUCUGGGAGCCUUUUAUGGUGCAGGUCGGUAGCUUUUUGGAGCCACGAGCUUAUAUCAGAGACCAUCUUCCCCUUGGAAUAUAGCAGCUGACUGAAAACGAAGUUAACCCUAAUACCAUGUACCACAGAUAGAUCCCAUCUCAAGGGCCACUUGGAAAUCUUGACAAGAAAUGUGCCACAAAGAAGUACAGGCAUUGUGAUAUGAAGAAUGGAAAUGGGACACCCUGAAAAGCUGAUUCAUUUUAAACACGAAAGCCAAGGAUCCGUUGAUGUGUCAAGGUGCAGAUUUACAACAUGGCCAAUUUGGUCUGGAGAAAGCAAAACGUGACUUCUCUCAUGGGAACUGAAUCCACAAUCCUAUCCUUCUAGUCUUAGAUUCUAAUAGAAAUGAAGAACAAUGCAAAUGAAUGGUGAUUUUAGAAAUCAUCUUUAAAUUUAAUCCUUUGACGGACAAAUUAGUGUGGUCCUCUCCCACCUAUCAAUAAUACCUGAAUAGCCUACUAUGCUUUCAUCUGGCAGAAUCUGUUGGAAAGUUAUUUGUGUUGUUUUCCAUUUAUAUAGUUCAAGGUAAAUCCCAACAGUACUAUAAACCAUGGGAAUUUUCAAGCCUACAUAGCCCCUGAUCUUUUCAAUAGCCCCAAAGGGUCCUAGGCCCCCGUGAACUCAGACUCCAAGUAAUUUGAGAAAGUCUCACUCUGUUCUGAAGAUCUAAAGGCAGUAAAUCAGUUGCUCUGGACCCUGUUGGGAUUGAGUCUAAUAAGGGAAGUUUCCUUAUAAAUAACCAUGGGAUUGAUUAGUGGCCCAAUAAUAAAACCUUUUUUUCCCCCCAUAGAUACGAUGGAUUUGGAGAGUGUAAUGGAUGAGUCUUUCCCCUUUCCCCUUGAACUGAGCUGAUCUUGAUGUGUUUGGCAGUUAGAAUAUGGUACAAAUGAUGCUGUGCAUUGAUACCUCUUGGGACGCCAUGACAAGUCCAAGGGGCAUAGAAAGGAUGUGGAGGAGAAUCUAUGUGCUUCAGCCAACAGCCCUGGCUGAGUGUCCAACACUGUAUGAGUGAGCAUCUUGAGCUCUAGCCCAGUCUGUCCUCUGGAGGGAUGCAGCACCAGCGGACAGCACAGGGAGCAGAACUGCCUAGCUGGGCCCUAUUAACUCACAGUA